This is a non-coding RNA of Chinchilla lanigera (long-tailed chinchilla), 67 nucleotides long. The record is from Ensembl. NCBI's taxonomy places the organism in Eukaryota, Metazoa, Chordata, Mammalia, Rodentia, Chinchillidae.
AGCCCUGAGGUGAUUGUUCAUGUUGAAUUGCAAAUUCAAAGGAGCAGCUUCAAUCCUGCCGGGGCUU